GGUGGAGCCAAAUAAGGGAAUGAAAGCAGGCCACCGGAGCCUCGGAGAGGCAACCGUUUGGGGUACUCUUCCACACUGUGGCAGCUUUGUUCUUUUGCUCUUUGCAGUAAGUUUUGCUGUUGCUUACUCUUUGGGUCUGCACUGCCUUUAUGAACUGUAACACUGACCAUGGAGGUCUGCAGCUUCACUCCUCAAGCCAGCAAGACCAGGAGCCCACUGGGAGGAGGAAUGAACAACUCUGGACACGCCACCCUUAAGAGCUGUAACACUCACCGCGACGGUCUGCAGCUUCACUCCUGAAGUCAGCGAGACCACAAACCCACCAGAAGGAAGAAAAUCCGGACACAUCUGAACAUCUGAGGGAACUCCGCACACACCAUCUUUAAGAACUGUAACACUCACCACGAGGGCCCGUGGCUUCAUUCUUGAAGUCAGCAAGACCAAGAACCCACCAAUUCUGGACACAACAGGACACACACAUGGGAGGGGGAGGCCAGAGGGAAACCUAGCUGGCUUGGGGUGGGAAUUUGAAUCCCUGAGCCCAUCUUCUUCUUUCACCACUUUGUCCGGUGACAUUAGGACCAACCAACCAAUGCCAUUAUAUUUCUUAGUUUACAAGAAAAUGUUUGAAGUUCUCAUGCACAGAAUCACUUAGCUUCUUGCUUUUUACAAGUGGUUGAUUAGGAGUAUUCAAUACAGAUUUUGUGUAUCACUAUAAACAGUUCACAGCAUGGACUACUGGUGUUCUCUUUACUAACUGAAAUGGUGUCAUUAGCACCUUUAAAUCUAAUCCAUUUAGAGAGCCAGUUCCGGAAACCUCAGAACCAGUUUGGAAAACUUCCGUUCUUCUGAAGCCAUUUUUGGAACCACAUCUGUGCUAGGUUCUCCAGGGAAACAGAACCAAUAUGUUUUAUUUACUAUGGGGACUGGCUCAUAUGAUUCUGGAGGCCUAGAAGUCCCUCCCUCUCAAGAUGUGCUGUCAGCAAGCUGCAGAACCAGGAAAGCUGGUGGUGUCAGAGUCUGAAGGCCUGAGAACUGGGUGGGGAGUGGGACAGACUAAGGGGCCUUUAGUCUCUGGGUUGGUGUGGUCCCCACAGGUGAGCCUUUCGUGGAGAAGGGUGGAGAGGGGAUCUGGAAGGGCCAAUAGAAGAUACUCAGCACUAAGAGACCUUUGGACUCAGACCAGAACUUACACCAUUCAUUCAUUCAGUCGGUGAAAAUGUAUUGACCACUGUAUCAACCAGGAUUGUGACACAAAAACAGAUGGCACACUCAAAAGAGGAUAAUUCAAGAAGGGCUUCUUUAAGGGACUAUUUCCCAAGAUGGGAAUGGAGGGGAACCUGCAGGGCUAGUGUCCUACCCUCCAGCAGGCAGCAGCUAAUUCCUGAGGGGAUAAGGACGUGGUUGCGAGGACAUGGAGGGAAAGUUCUACAGAGGAGGCACAGUGGGCUUCAGGAACACCCUGCUUGAGAGGCCUGUGAGAGGGAUUGUUUUCUACUGUUUGACAUUCACGUAACCUCCUAACGCUGUCUGGGGAAGAUGCUACCCCCUGCUCUCCCCGUCUUUCCUGCACUCUCAGCAAUGGGAUGGGCUGACUGAUGCCCUGUGGGCUGGAAAGCUGACCACAGUUGCUGCAGACCAGACCCCCUCACAUAGUGAGUGCUGGGCUGAGGAAUCCAGGAGAGCCCGAGGGGGGACACUGAAGGUGUAUCGUUGGCCCUGCCAGCUGCAAGUGAACUGCUUCUGAUGAAUUUUAAUAGGGAGAAAGAAGUAUUUGCUAAGAAUGGCAAUCCUGAUGCUCAGCCUUCAACUCAUCUUGUUAUUAAUACCAUCAAUAUCCCAUGAGGCUCAUAAAACGAGUCUUUCUUCUUGGAAACAUGACCAAGAUUGGGCAAACGUCUCCAACAUGACUUUCAGCAACGGAAAACUAAGAGUCAAAGGCAUUUAUUACCGGAAUGCCGACAUUUGCUCUCGACAUCGCGUAACCUCAGCAGGCCUAACUCUGCAGGACCUUCAGCUAUGGUGUAAUUUGAGGUCAGUGGCCAGAGGACAGAUCCCGUCUACAUUAUGAGUGAAGCGGAGAGCUACUGCAGGGUUCUGAGCAGAGUCCUAAUUUAUAUUUUAGAAGAAUCAUCAUGGCUCCUAGAUUAGGAAUAAAACGAAGGGGCCCAGGGAUGGAAACGAUGAGUCCAGUUGGGUUACUGCAAAGAUCCAGGCCAGAAAUCCAGGCACAGUGGCACACACCUGAGUCCCAGAUAAUUCCACCUACUGGUCCUGCUCUGUGGCCUACUGGUCCGAGUCCAGCCCCGACUGAUUUCUGGGCCUGUAAUGUCUAAAAACGCUCCCUGCUGAUGUUUUGCAAGUGACUGUGUUACUUGAAGGCAGUUCCUAGGAUAAACUAGUCGCUUUAUC
Homo sapiens (human) is the source of this 2412-nucleotide long non-coding RNA. Lineage: Eukaryota; Metazoa; Chordata; Mammalia; Primates; Hominidae. The record is from Ensembl.